AUGAUGAAGUAUGAGGCUAUGACACACACGCACUUUAAGAAGUUGUAUGAAUACAGGUCAACUUGGGUGUCGUGCUACUUCAAACACAACUUCUUUCCCUUCCUCCAGUCUACACAGCGUAGUGAGGGGUUCAACGCCGUCCUGAAAAGAUAUGUGAACCCACACAACUCAAUGCUAAACUUCGUUAAGCAAUAUGAAAAAAUUCAGAACCACAUCCUUGCCAAGGAAGGCUGCAAUGAUUACAGAACAGAACACCUUGAGAUUGAUUUGUGGUCCAACUUCCCAAUAGAGAAGCAAGCUUACAAAACCUAUACUAGGGACCUUUACCGCAAGUUUAGAGAAGAGUUUGAGCUGAUUGGACGUUAUAAUGCAUUCCAAGUUGGUGCUGAUGUAUUUGAGCUCAGACCGAACCAGGAAUUUGUUGCCAAAUAUGGUUCUCGAAACUACUUGGUGCAGGCAAGGGUGGAGGAGGGUUCCUAUUUGUGUGAGUGCUGUAAAAUGGACAAGGACGGCAUCCUCUGUUGCCACAUCCUCAAGGUGUUCACCCAUGUUGGAGUUGAUGUCAUACCGGAAAGGUACCUGCUAAGACGGUGGACACCUACUGCUAUACCUAGUGCGCUAGGGACUGGUUAUGAGCAACCGGAUGAAAUGCCUUCUCAAUCAAAGAAGCAGAUAAGGGAGAGGAACAUGAUAUACGAUUUUUAA
Molecule: ribosomal RNA, 705 nt
Filed under: Triticum aestivum (bread wheat)
Lineage: Eukaryota; Viridiplantae; Streptophyta; Magnoliopsida; Poales; Poaceae
Description: partial small subunit ribosomal RNA
Source: RNAcentral